CCAAGAGGACAUACCUAAAGUGCAUGUCCCUGAACUUAUACCACCGUGGACUGUGAUCUUGCAAGCUAAACAGGUUCAGGCUGUGUCAGUAGCUAGAUGGGAGACAUCCAAGGAAAACACAUGUGCUAUAGGA
Molecule: ribosomal RNA, 133 nt
Filed under: Chrysemys picta bellii (western painted turtle)
Lineage: Eukaryota; Metazoa; Chordata; Testudines; Emydidae
Source: RNAcentral